Long non-coding RNA from Haliaeetus leucocephalus (bald eagle), 4949 nucleotides. RefSeq lists it as uncharacterized. Lineage: Eukaryota; Metazoa; Chordata; Aves; Accipitriformes; Accipitridae. The transcript has 3 exons. The record is from RefSeq and is a predicted model, not a curated record.
AAUUGUUGGAAUCUGGGAGAGUGUCGGGAAGAGUAUCACAUCUUCUUGCCCUGUCCCUGUUCUGCUCCAGGCAGUUGCUCCUGGCCGCUCUGGAGACACAACAUGGACUAGAAGGACUCUUGGGCCAGACUUCUGCUGCUCCCUGUGGAAACCAUUUUGACUGUGUCUGGAGCCCUGCAGACACCUUCGUGGGAGUGCUCUCAUUUGCACAGGUGCCGGCCAGCCUUUACUGGGAGGUGCAGCCAAGGCAGGAGGUGCGGCUGCUCUGUCUACAGCCUCUUGUUACGCAGAUGGGAGCUGAUACGGAGCCCCAGGAUUUGAGUUGGCUCAGGCAGCUGGAGCUAUGUUGCAAGAAGCUGGAAACGCAAAGCUCAGCCUGGGUCAUAGUCCAGAGCAUUGGGAAUGGAUUGCCAGUGGGCUGCAGUAAGAGGUUGCCCAAGGCCUUUGAGACUCUAAAGCCAUUACUUCUCCCAACUGCUGUGAGGCGCAGUCCUCUCCUGAAUCCUGCCCUCUGCCCUGCCGAGGUCUGCCAGGGCACUGGACACCGGGGAUCGGGGAUCUGCUGGCGGACUUGAUCAGUGUCCGCAUCGCUGCUCUCUGUCUGUCCUCCCCACAGCUGUUUGCAAUGUGCCACUGGUGGCAGCUGAAGGUGAAGGGAGAGCUGCCCACCUGCCUGGACGGAGCUCAGACUGAAGACCUUCCCUGUGGUGUUGUCAAGCACUGUGACUGCAGAGCCACUGAGGCUGAUCCAGGACAUUGUCAUCUCUCCUGUGUCUCCUGAAGCUAUCCCCGGAACUUCUGGGAAGGGCUGAGCUAGUGGGUGCCCACCACCCUGUUGUCAGACCCUCUUGCUUUUGCAUAGCCUGGCCGGAGGCAGAGGUGUGGGGCUUGGGCUUGCUGUGCUGUGGAGAUUGAGCUGGGCUGCAGCUGUGCCACUGGCUGCAGAUGCUUCUGCAUGGCACAGUGCAAAGCAGCGGUACCCUCAGGUGCCUGCUGCUUGCUCUGUCCCUGGCAGAUGGGGAGGGGUGCUGGCUCCGGGGGAGCUGUGCCAGGACAUGUUUCCAGGCCUGAGGUGGGAGUGUUUCUGAUCGAUGCAGUUUGUUUCAGAGGUGACGGAGCACUCACUGCAGGAGCAGACUGAAGCUGGUGGGCACAGGGACAGCCAAGCUGGUGAAGCAAGACAUUUUAAAUGCUUUCAUCCCAGCUCUCUGCAGUCUGUGCCUUGCCAGGAGCUGCUCUCUGUUUUCAGUUAGCUUUGUAACUGUGUUAGGUCCCAGUAAACAAGAGCUUUCCAAGUAUUUUGCCGGAGCCAAGGCAGCUCUGGGCAUCUUAGCCGUGUCUCUGGGGAUGGGGCUGCUGCGUUCUGCUGGCACCAUGACACAGCUGCUCUACACCUUGGCUUUGGGGAUCCCCAACACCUUCUCUGGGGAGACUGAGCCAGGGGUCUGGCUGCGGAGAGGGAGAGGGCAGUCCCCUGACUGCCACCUUGGAGAGCAGGAGUGCUCUCAGCCUGGGUUGGACACUCUUAGCACAGCUCUACUCCCUCUGCACGUUUCCUGCUCUUUUCUCACUCCAUUUACACCACAGAGAGAGGACAAAGGACCAUGAGGAGUUAGAAGAGGUAACAGAGCUGAGCACCCAGGUCCACCAAGCCCCACCAGCCUUCUCAGCCUCAGGUUCCCUCAUCUUCCGUGGUACCCCCUCAUGCUCAGAGAGCUGCCAGUGUCAGACCCUGCUUGCACCCAGCUUCCCCAUCCUGGCCUGGCUCCUGUCCUGAAUAUAUUUUUACAUUUUAUGACUCUCAGAGGUUUUUAAAUUUAAUGGGUUCUUUUUUUUCUUUCUUCCUUCUUAUCACCUGAGCUGGAUCCUCUCUGAGCUGCUGCCAGCUCCAGGGAUUACAAGUGAAUAAUUUAGGUCUGAUGGUGUGUUUGAAGUUUAAGAGAAGGAAGUGGCAUGUGUAGCCUGCUCCUCAUUCCUGCCCCAGGGCCAUGGUGCAGGGGCUGCUGCUGUUUCUCCAAAGGCAAUUUCAAAGAUUCCCUAAGGAGCCACACUCUGAACAUUGCAUGGCCCUGCGAAGGCAUAGCCUUCCAGAUCUGGCCUGGAGGUCAAGGGUCCCAGGGCACCACAGGGGCAAUUGGCUCAUUUUCACGUAGCUGCCCGUAACGGCUGCUGCUCUGCAAUGAGGCGGCUCCGCAGCACCAGCACUGGAGGAUCACUGUGUGUGCCAUGGACUGAACCACAGCAUCAUGCCUGGGUGAGGGACUCGGAGUCUUGCUUGCCAGCCCAGGGCCAGGAGGCGUUAAAUGCUAAACCAGUGUGUGUGUCUUGGCAGCUCUGAAGCACAGUGAAGCCGGCAAUGGGCAAACAUGACCUGCUGGAGAGCUGACUUAAGGGCUAGCUGCUGCUGGGCGAAAGGAGAUGCCUCUAGGGUCACCAGCCUGUUGUCUCCAGAUACUGGUGGAGGAAGGAAGGACUUGCGGUGUGCUGAGCAAUGGCAAUGCAGAGCUUUUGGCUGACCUGCUCAUCUUUGCUGAGUGCAGAGCACACCGCUGCUUGACUCUCUCAGGGUGCAUUGAACCACAGGGUGCAGAAGCAGAUGAGACUUCCCUCCCCAUGUCCCAGGGGAUGUGUGCUGCCUUCAGUGGUCUCUGUAGUCUGUGCUUGCACAAUGUCAAGUGUUGCUAGUUCUCAGGACAGGGGGCACAGAAAGAUACUCUGGGAAAUUAUUUUUAACCCCCUGCAAUUCACUGUUCCGAAAGCUAAGUCACUUCUGUUAGGGCUGGUUCAGUAGCAACCCCAAUGGAGACAAUCUUUUCCUCAUACAUAUGCUUCUCUUUGCCAAGUGGCUCUGACAAAAUUUAAGUACGGACUUUAGUGAUUUCCAGGAGCUUUUGGAAGAACUAACAAGCAUGUCACAGGGUCCAGCAUUAAAUCCUUCCCUGCCGGGAUGCAGUAGAAAACGGAAACUGUCAGGCAGUUUGAGAUCCACUUAACAGCAAUUAGUGCAAAUGAAAGAAGCACUAACGCGAAAGCCCUAGUCUCUGUGCUUCGGGUGGGAGGAGGAAAAGAAUGUGUAAGAGAAAAUGUAAACAUGAAAAAAUGUGGCUGUGUAUUCCACAAAACAAUGAAUCAUUUUAACAUUUCCAAUCCUUUUCACGCAAGCAGAAACAGUUGAUCAAUAUGUGACAGAAUUAAAGACCUGCAGUAAAACCUUGGAGCUGAGGAUCUGUGAGAAUUGUGAACACACAGACUAAUCUGCAGAAUUCCGCAUACAGCGUAAAAGGAAAGGCAAGUGUAGGUACAAGAGCCAGAAGCUGCAACAGCAGAAGUCUGCUGGGCAAGAGGACUCCUCUGCCCACCCAAAGGAGCACCCAUUGGAGGGGAGAAACCAUCACUGGCAAUGGAUAUGGAGCACCUACAGAAAGUAGGUGUAUUUCCCAGAAAACUCCAAGUUACAACAAAUGUGGCCCUAAACCAUAUCCUCAUAAAAGCCUGCAAGAUGAGAUUCAGAAUGUGUAUUCAUAAAAACUGCAGCCAUAGCCAUGGCUCUGGAGGACUUUCAGCCAGUAGGAGCAUCUCAUAGACUUUACCCUGUGAAGUGCUGAAAACAGUCAAGAGAUGCCAUUCUAUGAUCCUAUGCCACAGCUAACUUCAAGACAAAGAAUUUCAAGGUAGGUUAGGAGGAUGGUAUCCCUGGAAAAAGGAAAAGCAGGUGUACAACAGCUAAACAGGUGAGUACUUAGUUAUGUGCACAAAGGGUGAGCUGGACUAUGUUUGAAUCUAUUCUAAAAAUACCUGUACUGGGCCAUUUGAAAAGUAUUAGGGAAGACACAAUUGCACAGUUUGAAAAUACUAACAUUUUUAGAAAGUUAGGAUCAUUCUCUGGAUCCUGGUAAUUGAGUGAACAGAGAGGCUCAACAUGAUGCACUUACAACAUGUCUUUUGGGAUGUUCAGGUUCCUGCAGUUGCACUUUGGAAAAGCUGUAGAAGCUUAUCAUAUACACAGAGAAGCCUGCUACUGGCAACAGCAGAACAAUAAAUGGCACAAGGAAAGCAUAACUCUAAAGAGAACUGAGUACAACAGGGGCUGCCAAGGGGAUGAAGGACGCCAGGGUAUUGACUGGAUAUGCACAUAUAUUGUCUGUUAAAAGCAGUGGAUCUAACAGUGGUGGUGGCUGAGCAGGAUUUGAGUCAGAGAGGACUGGGCAUGAUGAGAGAUAAGCAGAGCUGGGUCUGGUGCUGCACCUUCUAGAUGUAGGCACUGGACAGGGCUUCCUUUCCCUUCGGUGCAGGAGGGCUCUGCUGGUCCCUCCCAACCAUAUUAUGGUGGUCUUCCCAAUCCAGAGCAUGUAUCCUUCAGAGUGCUGGACUCGGCACUAGUGUACUCCAGAAGUGGCCAGAUCACCCUGCCUUUCUGGGAUGUGAGUCCAAAAACCAUCCUAAUACCAGAAAUAAACUGUUUUCCAGCUUACAUCCUCUCCGCAGCUUUUUGCAGCCGAUUGUAGCUUUCACUGUACCACAGUUCUCCCACCAUUGUUUUGGGAAGAUUACGAUUGCUUUGAGCCCUGUUUCUCUCUGCUCUCGGCUGGUGUCAGGGCCACAGAAGUGUGUAUGUGUGUGAGAGAGAGAGAGAGAGAGUGAGCAUACAUGCAUGUGUGUUUACUAUGGAGAGAAUGAGAAAAGGAGGCUGAAUCAUGCUCCUCCUGCCAGUUAGCCCUGUCCUAAGCUUUCCAUGUAGCUGGGACUUUUGGAUGCAGCCCAGACCUGGUAGCCCGAACCUCUGCCUUUCCCACAUUUUCUUUGCUCUUGUUUGUUAUAGUGCAUGUCUAGGGCAUAGCUUCAUGGUCUGCGCGGGGAAACUAAUAAGCAUGGUGAAUGGUCUAGAGCACAAGUCUUACGAGAAGUGGCUGAGGGAACUGGGGUUGUUUAAUCUGGAGAAGAGGAGGCUC